CCUACGGGAGGCAGCAGUGGGGGAUAUUGCACAAUGGGGGGAACCCUGAUGCAGCGACGCCGCGGGGGUGAAGAAGCGCCUCGGCGCGUAAAGCCCUGUCAGCAGGGAAGACAAUGACGGUACCUGAAGAAGAAGCCCCGGCUAACUACGUGCCAGCAGCCGCGGUAAUACGUAGGGGGCAAGCGUUAUCCGGAUUUACUGGGUGGAAAGGGGGCGCAGACGGCGAUGCAAGCCAGGAGUGAAAGCCCGGGGCCAAACCCCGGGACUGCUCUUGGAACUGCGUGGCUGGAGUGCAGGAGGGGCAGGCGGAAGUCCUGGUGUAGCGGUGAAAUGCGUAGAGAUCAGGAGGAACACCGGUGGCGAAGGCGGCCUGCUGGACUGCAACUGACGUUGAGGCCCGAAAGCGUGGGGAGCAAACAGGAUUAGAUACCCUAGUAGUC
This 440-nucleotide ribosomal RNA is filed under the name uncultured bacterium. RNAcentral describes it as "partial 16S ribosomal RNA". It matches the Rfam family "Bacterial small subunit ribosomal RNA", at positions 338 to 795 of the family's 1533-position model. The record is from RNAcentral.